UGAGGUGGACAGACGAUCGCGGCUGCGACUUGUCGGAGUCGAGGAAAGUCCGAACACGACAGGACACGGUGGUGGGUAACGCCCACCGGCCCCCGGUCGCGGGGUCAGGGAAAGUGCCACAGAAAAUAUACGGCCGCCCCCGGAUGCUCGGAAACGGGUCUCCGGACAGGCAAAGGUGAAAUGGUGCGGUAAGAGCGCACCGCCCGGCUGGUGACAGUCGGGGCAAGGUAAACCCCACCGCGUGCAAACCCAAGCAGCCCCCCGGAAGUGGCGCAAGCCGCUUCCCGCCCGUGGUCCGCGGGGUUGGGGGCGGGUAGGGCGCUCGAGGCCGUCGGCGACGGCGGUCCCAGAUGAAUGAUCGUCACCCGCAAACGCCGUCGCGAGACGACGCGCGCGGGAACAAAAUUCGGCUUAUGUCCAUUCGCGAC
RNAcentral lists this RNase P RNA (428 nucleotides) under Planctomycetota bacterium. Its description in RNAcentral is "RNase P RNA component class A". It matches the Rfam family "Bacterial RNase P class A". From Rfam's summary of the family: Ribonuclease P (RNase P) is a ubiquitous endoribonuclease, found in archaea, bacteria and eukarya as well as chloroplasts and mitochondria. Lineage: Bacteria; Pseudomonadati; Planctomycetota. The record is from RNAcentral.